UGGGGAAUAUUGGGCAAUGGGGGCAACCCUGACCCAGCAACGCCGCGUGAGGGAUGAAGGCCUUCGGGUUGUAAACCUCUGUCCUUGGGGACGAAUAGAUGACGGUACCCAGGGAGGAAGCUCCGGCUAACUACGUGCCAGCAGCCGCGGUAAUACGUAGGGAGCGAGCGUUGUCCGGAAUCACUGGGCGUAAAGGGUGCGUAGGCGGUUAUUUAAGUCAGAUGUGAAAUACCCGGGCUUAACCUGGGGGCUGCAUCUGAUACUGGAUGACUUGAGUACAGGAGAGGAAAGUGGAAUUCCUAGUGUAGCGGUGAAAUGCAUAGAUAUUAGGAGGAACACCAGUGGCGAAGGCGGCUUUCUGGACUGUAACUGACGCUGAGGCACGAAAGCGUGGGGAGCAAACAGG
Molecule: ribosomal RNA, 406 nt
Filed under: uncultured bacterium
Lineage: Bacteria
Also listed under: 1 other name
Description: bacterial SSU rRNA
Rfam family: Bacterial small subunit ribosomal RNA
Source: RNAcentral